RNAcentral lists this ribosomal RNA (702 nucleotides) under Variovorax boronicumulans. RNAcentral's name for it is "bacterial SSU rRNA". It matches the Rfam family "Bacterial small subunit ribosomal RNA", at positions 56 to 755 of the family's 1533-position model. The record is from RNAcentral. Lineage: Bacteria; Pseudomonadati; Pseudomonadota; Betaproteobacteria; Burkholderiales; Comamonadaceae.
UGCAGUCGACGGCAGCGCGGGAGCAAUCCUGGCGGCGAGUGGCGAACGGGUGAGUAAUACAUCGGAACGUGCCCAAUCGUGGGGGAUAACGCAGCGAAAGCUGUGCUAAUACCGCAUACGAUCUACGGAUGAAAGCAGGGGAUCGCAAGACCUUGCGCGAAUGGAGCGGCCGAUGGCAGAUUAGGUAGUUGGUGAGGUAAAGGCUCACCAAGCCUUCGAUCUGUAGCUGGUCUGAGAGGACGACCAGCCACACUGGGACUGAGACACGGCCCAGACUCCUACGGGAGGCAGCAGUGGGGAAUUUUGGACAAUGGGCGAAAGCCUGAUCCAGCCAUGCCGCGUGCAGGAUGAAGGCCUUCGGGUUGUAAACUGCUUUUGUACGGAACGAAACGGCCUUUUCUAAUAAAGAGGGCUAAUGACGGUACCGUAAGAAUAAGCACCGGCUAACUACGUGCCAGCAGCCGCGGUAAUACGUAGGGUGCAAGCGUUAAUCGGAAUUACUGGGCGUAAAGCGUGCGCAGGCGGUUAUGUAAGACAGUUGUGAAAUCCCCGGGCUCAACCUGGGAACUGCAUCUGUGACUGCAUAGCUAGAGUACGGUAGAGGGGGAUGGAAUUCCGCGUGUAGCAGUGAAAUGCGUAGAUAUGCGGAGGAACACCGAUGGCGAAGGCAAUCCCCUGGACCUGUACUGACGCUCAUGCACG